GUGCCAGCAGUCGCGGUAAAACGUAGGAGGCGAGCGUUAUCCGGAUUCACUGGGCGUAAAGCGCGUGCAGGCGGUUCGGUAAGUUGGGCGUGAAAUCUCUUGGCUUAACUAGGAGAGGUCGUUCAAUACUACCGGACUUGAGAGUGAUAGAGGAAAAUGGAAUUCCAGGUGUAGUGGUGAAAUGCGUAGAUAUCUGGAGGAACACCAGUGGCGAAAGCGAUUUUCUGGAUCAUUUCUGACGCUCAGACGCGAAAGCUAGGGUAGUAAACGGGAUUAGAGACCCCGGUAAUCCUAGCUGUAAACGAUGUUAACUUGGCGUCGGUGGAUUAAACCCCAUCGGUGCCGAAGCAAACGCGAUAAGUUAACCGCCUGGGGACUACGAUCGCAAGAUUAAAACUCAAAGGAAUUGACGG
This 413-nucleotide ribosomal RNA is filed under the name uncultured bacterium. RNAcentral's name for it is "bacterial SSU rRNA". It matches the Rfam family "Bacterial small subunit ribosomal RNA", at positions 505 to 916 of the family's 1533-position model. The record is from RNAcentral.